UACGUAGGGGGCAAGCGUUGUCCGGAAUUAUUGGGCGUAAAGAGCGCGUAGGCGGUCCGAUAAGUCGGCUGUGAAAGUCAAGGGCUCAACCCUUGGAAGCCGGCCGAUACUGUCGGACUAGAGUCCGGAAGAGGCGAGUGGAAUUCCCGGUGUAGCGGUGAAAUGCGCAGAUAUCGGGAGGAACACCAAUUGCGAAGGCAGCUCGCUGGGACGGUACUGACGCUGAGGAGCGAAAGCGUGGGGAGCGAACAGG
This 253-nucleotide ribosomal RNA is filed under the name uncultured bacterium. RNAcentral's name for it is "partial 16S ribosomal RNA". It matches the Rfam family "Bacterial small subunit ribosomal RNA", at positions 524 to 776 of the family's 1533-position model. The record is from RNAcentral.